AGGACGAACGCUGGCGGCGCGCCUCAUACAUGCAAGUCGAGCGAGAAAUCCGGGGCUUGCCCCGGGUGGAGAGCGGCGAACGGGUGAGGAACACGUGAGGAACCUGCCUCGAAGACCGGGAUAACACCGGGAAACCGGUGCUAAUACCGGAUGCCCUCACCGGAUCACAAGAUGCGGUGAGGAAAUGGAUUCCGCUUCGGGAUGGUCUCGCGGCCUAUCAGCUAGUUGGUGGGGUAACGCCCACCAAGGCUUCGACGGGUAGCUGGUCUGAGAGGAUGUCCAGCCACACUGGGACUGAGACACGGCCCAGACUCCUACGGGAGGCAGCAGUAGGGAAUCUUGCGCAAUGGGCGAAAGCCUGACGCAGCGACGCCGCGUGCGGGAUGAAGGCCUUCGGGUUGUAAACCGCUUUCAGCAGGGACGAAAUUGACGGUACCUGCAGAAGAGGCCCGCAACUACGCGCCAGCAGCCGCGUAA
This 477-nucleotide ribosomal RNA is filed under the name uncultured bacterium. RNAcentral's name for it is "SSU rRNA". It matches the Rfam family "Bacterial small subunit ribosomal RNA", at positions 26 to 522 of the family's 1533-position model. The record is from RNAcentral.